RNAcentral lists this ribosomal RNA (484 nucleotides) under uncultured bacterium. RNAcentral's name for it is "partial 16S ribosomal RNA". It matches the Rfam family "Bacterial small subunit ribosomal RNA", at positions 30 to 507 of the family's 1533-position model. The record is from RNAcentral.
AUUGAACGCUGGCGGCAUGCCUAACACAUGCAAGUCGAGCGGAUGAAGGGAGCUUUCUCCUGGAUUCAGCGGCGGACGGGUGAGUAAUUCCUAGGAAUCUGCCUGGUAGUGGGGGAUAACGUCCGGAAACGGGCGCUAAUACCUCAUACGUCCUGAGGGAGAAAGUGGGGGAUCUUCGGACCUCACGCUCUCAGAUGAUCCUAGGUCGGAUUAGCUAGUUGGUGGGGUAAAGGCCUACCAAGGCGACGAUCCGUAACUGGUCUGAGAGGAUGAUCAGUCACACUGGAACUGAGAAACGGUACAGACUCCUACGGGAGGCAGCAGUGGGGAAUAUUGGACAAUGGGCGAAAGCCUGAUCCAGCCAUGCCGCGUGUGUGAAGAAGGUCUUCGGAUUGUAAAGCACUUUAAGUUGGGAGGAAGGGCAGUAAGUUAAUACCUUGCUGUUUUGACGUUACCAAAAGAAUAAGCACCGGCUAACUUCGUG